This 329-nucleotide ribosomal RNA is filed under the name Scapheremaeus palustris. Its description in RNAcentral is "eukaryotic LSU rRNA". It matches the Rfam family "Eukaryotic large subunit ribosomal RNA", at positions 666 to 944 of the family's 3401-position model. The record is from RNAcentral. Lineage: Eukaryota; Metazoa; Arthropoda; Arachnida; Sarcoptiformes; Cymbaeremaeidae.
CCAAGGAGUUUAACAUGUGUGCGAGUCACUCGGUCUUGUUUAGGCCAGAGAGGCGCAAUGAAAGUAAAGUUGAUUGAGUUACGAUCCUUAUUCGGCUUGUGUGUGUGUUGAAAAACACACUGCAAACGGUAAGGCGCAGUAACGGCCCGCCAAUUUCGCUUAUUGACGAUAUGGCGGAGUUAUAGCAUACACGUUGAGACCCGAAAGAUGGUGAACUAUGCCUGGGCAAGACGAAGCCAGAGGAAACUCUGGUGGAGGUCUGUAGCGAUUCUGACGUGCAAAUCGAUCGUCAGACCUGGGUAUAGGGGCGAAAGACUAAUCGAACCAUC